Molecule: ribosomal RNA, 881 nt
Filed under: uncultured fungus
Lineage: Eukaryota; Fungi
Description: eukaryotic LSU rRNA
Rfam family: 5.8S ribosomal RNA (bases 432-585)
Source: RNAcentral
UCUUGGUCAUUUAGAGGAAGUAAAAGUCGUGACAAGGUUUCCGUAGGUGAACCUGCGGAAGGAUCAUUAAAGAAAUUUAAUAAUUUUGAAAAUGGAUUUUUUUGUUUUGGCAAGAGCAUGAGAGCUUUUACUGGGCAAGAAGACAAGAGAUGGAGAGUCCAGCCGGGCCUGCGCUUAAGUGCGCGGUCGUGCUAGGCUUGUAAGUUCCUUUCUUGCUAUUCCAAACGGUGAGAGAUUUCUGUGCUUUUGUUAUAGGACAAUUAAAACCGUUUCAAUACAACACACUGUGGAGUUUUCAUAUCUUUGCAACUUUUUCUUUGGGCAUUCGAGCAAUCGGGGCCCAGAGGUAACAAACACAAACAAUUUUAUCUAUUCAUUAAAUUUUUGUCAAAAACAAGAAUUUUCGUAACUGGAAAUUUUAAAAUAUUAAAAACUUUCAACAACGGAUCUCUUGGUUCUCGCAUCGAUGAAGAACGCAGCGAAAUGCGAUACGUAAUGUGAAUUGCAGAAUUCCGUGAAUCAUCGAAUCUUUGAACGCACAUUGCGCCCCUUGGUAUUCCAGGGGGCAUGCCUGUUUGAGCGUCAUUUCCUUCUCAAACAUUCUGUUUGGUAGUGAGUGAUACUCUUUGGAGUUAACUUGAAAUUGCUGGCCUUUUCAUUGGAUGUUUUUUUUCCAAAGAGAGGUUUCUCUGCGUGCUUGAGGUAUAAUGCAAGUACGGUCGUUUUAGGUUUUACCAACUGCGGCUAAUCUUUUUUUAUACUGAGCGUAUUGGAACGUUAUCGAUAAGAAGAGAGCGUCUAGGCGAACAAUGUUCUUAAAGUUUGACCUCAAAUCAGGUAGGACUACNCGCUGAACUUAAGCAUAUCAAUAAGCGGAGGAA